This 862-nucleotide ribosomal RNA is filed under the name Corynebacterium variabile. RNAcentral's name for it is "bacterial SSU rRNA". It matches the Rfam family "Bacterial small subunit ribosomal RNA", at positions 593 to 1454 of the family's 1533-position model. The record is from RNAcentral. Lineage: Bacteria; Bacillati; Actinomycetota; Actinomycetes; Mycobacteriales; Corynebacteriaceae.
UGUGAAAUUCCGGGGCUUAACUCCGGGCGUGCAGGCGAUACGGGCAUAACUUGAGUGCUGUAGGGGAGACUGGAAUUCCUGGUGUAGCGGUGAAAUGCGCAGAUAUCAGGAGGAACACCAAUGGCGAAGGCAGGUCUCUGGGCAGUAACUGACGCUGAGGAGCGAAAGCAUGGGUAGCGAACAGGAUUAGAUACCCUGGUAGUCCAUGCCGUAAACGGUGGGCGCUAGGUGUGGGGGUCUUCCACGACUUCUGUGCCGUAGCUAACGCAUUAAGCGCCCCGCCUGGGGAGUACGGCCGCAAGGCUAAAACUCAAAGGAAUUGACGGGGGCCCGCACAAGCGGCGGAGCAUGUGGAUUAAUUCGAUGCAACGCGAAGAACCUUACCUGGGCUUGACAUAUGCCGGAUCGGCGCAGAGAUGCGUUUUCCCUUGUGGUCGGUAUACAGGUGGUGCAUGGUUGUCGUCAGCUCGUGUCGUGAGAUGUUGGGUUAAGUCCCGCAACGAGCGCAACCCUUGUCUUGUGUUGCCAGCACGUUAUGGUGGGGACUCGCGAGAGACUGCCGGGGUUAACUCGGAGGAAGGUGGGGAUGACGUCAAAUCAUCAUGCCCCUUAUGUCCAGGGCUUCACACAUGCUACAAUGGUCGGUACAGUGGGUUGCUACACCGUGAGGUGGUGCUAAUCCCUUAAAGCCGGUCUCAGUUCGGAUUGGAGUCUGCAACUCGACUCCAUGAAGUCGGAGUCGCUAGUAAUCGCAGAUCAGCAACGCUGCGGUGAAUACGUUCCCGGGCCUUGUACACACCGCCCGUCACGUCAUGAAAGUUGGUAACACCCGAAGCCAGUGGCCCAAACUCGUUAGGGAGCG